RNAcentral lists this ribosomal RNA (498 nucleotides) under uncultured bacterium. Its description in RNAcentral is "bacterial SSU rRNA". It matches the Rfam family "Bacterial small subunit ribosomal RNA", at positions 20 to 507 of the family's 1533-position model. The record is from RNAcentral.
UGGCUCAGGAUGAACGCUAGCGGCAGGCUUAACACAUGCAAGUCGAGGGGCAGCGCGAUGUAGCAAUACAUUGGCGGCGACCGGCGCACGGGUGCGUAACACGUAUGGAACUUACCCUUUACUGGGAGAUAGCCCGGAGAAAUCCGGAUUAAUAUCCCAUAAUAAACGAGGUGGCAUCACUUUGUUUUGAAAGCUCCGGCGGUAAAGGAUGGCCAUGCGCACGAUUAGCUAGUAGGUGAGGUAACGGCUCACCUAGGCUACGAUCGUUAGGGGGCCUGAGAGGGUUAUCCCCCACACUGGUACUGAGACACGGACCAGACUCCUACGGGAGGCAGCAGUGGGGAAUUUUGGACAAUGGGCGCAAGCCUGAUCCAGCAAUGCCGCGUGAGUGAAGAAGGCCUUCGGGUUGUAAAGCUCUUUCAGUCGAGAAGAAAAGGCUGCAGUGAAUAACUGUAGUUUAUGACGGUAUCGACAGAAGAAGCACCGGCUAACUACGUG